Molecule: ribosomal RNA, 107 nt
Filed under: Pseudomonadota bacterium
Lineage: Bacteria; Pseudomonadati; Pseudomonadota
Source: RNAcentral
CGUGGCGGUUUAGUGCGAUGGAAACACCUCUUACCAUCCCGAACAGAGAAGUUAAGCGUCGUAGCGCCGAUGAUACUCUUUUAGGGGAAAGUAGGUGACUGCCACGU